CCACCCUUUAGUGCCGGUUAUGGAACCGGCACUAAAGACCCUUACAAACCGGCGCUAAAGCUCCGUUUUCUACUAGUGGGCAACGCUUGUCAUGAUUUUUUAUUUCUGAAGCCACAUUAGCAAGCAUCAUAAAUAUAACUAAAUGUUUGCUGGCUUCCGUAAUUGCCUACAUCAAUGUAAUCUUCCACAUUGAAAACACUCAUUUGAGAUUUGCAAGAAGCCUGCAUACUACUUACUGUUGAUGCAUUAACAUUGCAUCCUUCAGAAUUAGCAAGCAGGGCAUAAUGUUAGGUGUCUGUUUGCGGAAUUGCUGAAAAUAAUUGGUCUAUUUAAUCCAUGAGAAAUAGGAAGAUUCUUGUAAACUGUAGUGUGCUACUUGCUAUACUGGCUAAGCUACAUGACUUACUCUUUAGCGACAUUUCAUAUCGGCAGUGUGCUACUUGCUAUACUGGCUAAGCUUAAUUUUCUUCUUCCUGUGAACAUGUAGAUAAGUGAAAUGAUAAUAAGAAGGUUAAAUAAUGUUGUUCAAUCUUUCCGUCAAGCAACCUGUUUGGCCCCAAAUGUCCGCACCGACGCGGUGACGCCCGUGGGCGCCACCGUUCCUUCCUGAAGGGCAUCGGGUAUUCCCCUUCCCCAUGCCCGUCCGCGUACCGGGGGAAACCCUAGGACUUGUUCGGGCAGUAGCGUCAUUGUUGUCGUGUUCCUUUUUGAAGGUGUUGCUUGGCAUGCGGAGGUUCAAGGUGCUAGGAGCGAGGUGGUAAAUCUCCGGUGAGCGCAGCGGUUGCGGGUCAUCAUCAUUUUCGUCGAUCCGACGUUGUUGACAUUAUUUUCUCUCUUCUUUCUCUUUUUCUUCUUUUGGGCGUGCUUGUGCUGUUUGCCCCAGCAUUGGACUCUUGAUUGUAUUGGGUUGUUGCUAUAUCUAUAUAGCGGGGCGAAAGCCUAUUUCGUAAGAUUCUUCCAUGAAUUCAAGACUUGGCAAACCACUCCCAUUACAAGGUUCCAUAACACAUGCUGGAUUUGUAUGCCAAGAUAUCUGAAGGGCAAAAACUUAGUACAUUUAUUCUGUUUUUUUAAUAAAUCUCCCUCUUGGAAUGAGCUACAACUACUAACGAGUUAUUCUUCUCAUAUAUGUAAGAACACAUUUCUAUAUAUGGCUGCUAUUAAGGCGACUUGAUUGAGUACCGGCGAAUUACCUUCAAAAUGAUUAAAGGAAUGCUAAGAUGGGCCUCCUUGAGUUUUGACCACGCCUAAUAAUACUUAUGAAUUACGGCUACUCUCCAUGCAGUUUGGUACGGUUAUUUCACCAACUAGCCCACUACUAUGUGCUGGAAGUUAUAUUGUUACUUAAUAGAGGCUACCCAUUCUAAACUUCUUCUCUUUGACUGUGUUGUCAGAU
RNAcentral lists this long non-coding RNA (1396 nucleotides) under Triticum aestivum (bread wheat). RNAcentral describes it as "long non-coding RNA (TAES_LNC014101)". Lineage: Eukaryota; Viridiplantae; Streptophyta; Magnoliopsida; Poales; Poaceae. The record is from RNAcentral.